AUGGGCUUCACGGGAGACACUGCAUCGCUACUGAGGAUUUCGUGUAACACCAAGAGAAGAAGAAUGUGACAUUGGAUUAACCAAGCUGAGGAAAGCCAGAGGCAGUGGAACACCUGAAGGAUGAUGAGGGAAAAUCAGGAGUCACCCAGCACCCUGCGCCAUCUCUAAUGGUGGGAUGCGCGGGAGCCUGAGCUCUGCGUCGUCAUGGUGAGCACCGUGGUGAUGCCCAGCGCCACUCUGGCCGGCGCGGCGUCCAUG
Molecule: long non-coding RNA, 258 nt
Organism: Engraulis encrasicolus (European anchovy)
Lineage: Eukaryota; Metazoa; Chordata; Actinopteri; Clupeiformes; Engraulidae
Exons: 4
Source: RefSeq, a predicted model, not a curated record